UACGAAGGGGGCUAGCGUUGUUCGGAUUUACUGGGCGUAAAGCGCACGUAGGCGGAUCGUUAAGUCAGGGGUGAAAUCCUGGAGCUCAACUCCAGAACUGCCUCUGAUACUGGCAAUCUAGAGUCCGGAAGAGGUGAGUGGAACUCCUAGUGUAGAGGUGGAAUUCGUAGAUAUUAGGAAGAACACCAGUGGCGAAGGCGGCUCACUGGUCCGGUACUGACGCUGAGGUGCGAAAGCGUGGGGAGCAAACAGG
RNAcentral lists this ribosomal RNA (253 nucleotides) under uncultured bacterium. RNAcentral's name for it is "partial 16S ribosomal RNA". It matches the Rfam family "Bacterial small subunit ribosomal RNA", at positions 524 to 776 of the family's 1533-position model. The record is from RNAcentral.